RNAcentral lists this ribosomal RNA (441 nucleotides) under uncultured bacterium. Its description in RNAcentral is "bacterial SSU rRNA". It matches the Rfam family "Bacterial small subunit ribosomal RNA", at positions 958 to 1398 of the family's 1533-position model. The record is from RNAcentral.
AACGCGAAGAACCUUACCUACUCUUGACAUCCUCGGAAUCCUCUAGAAAUAGAGGGGUGCCUUCGGGAACCGAGAGACAGGUGCUGCAUGGCUGUCGUCAGCUCGUGUCGUGAGAUGUUGGGUUAAGUCCCGUAACGAGCGCAACCCUCGUCCUUAGUUGCCAACGCGUCAUGGCGGGAACUCUAAGGAGACUGCCGGUGAUAAACCGGAGGAAGGUGGGGAUGAUGUCAAGUCAUCAUGGCCCUUACGAGUAGGGCUACACACGUGCUACAAUGGGCGGUACAAAGGGUUGCCAAACCGCAAGGUGGAGCUAAUCCCAAAAAGCCGCUCAUAGUCCGGAUUGGAGUCUGCAACUCGACUCCAUGAAGUUGGAAUCGCUAGUAAUCGCGAAUCAGAAUGUCGCGGUGAAUACGUUCCCGGGCCUUGUACACACCGCUAGUC